Molecule: ribosomal RNA, 373 nt
Filed under: uncultured eukaryote
Lineage: Eukaryota
Description: partial 18S ribosomal RNA
Rfam family: Eukaryotic small subunit ribosomal RNA
Source: RNAcentral
CAAUAGCGUAUAUUAAAGUUGUUGCAGUUAAAAAGCUCGUAGUUGAAUUUUUGCUUGCCGCCGAUGUCGGAACUUCCGUACGUUCGGCGGCGUGCAUCCUUGGGUGGAACCUGUGUGGCAUUAGGUUGUCGUGCAGGGGAUGCUCAUCGUUUACUGUGAAAAAAUUAGAGUGUUCAAAGCAGGCUUAUGCCGUUGAAUAUAUUAGCAUGGAAUAAUGAGAUAGGACUUUUUUGCUAUUUUGUUGGUUUGCGCAAAGAGGUAAUGAUUAAUAGGGACAGUUGGGGGUAUUCGUAUUCCAUUGUCAGAGGUGAAAUUCUUGGAUUUUUGGAAGACGAACUACUGCGAAAGCAUUUACCAAGGAUGUUUUCAUUAA